Long non-coding RNA from Mus caroli (Ryukyu mouse), 337 nucleotides. RefSeq lists it as uncharacterized. The record is from RefSeq and is a predicted model, not a curated record. NCBI's taxonomy places the organism in Eukaryota, Metazoa, Chordata, Mammalia, Rodentia, Muridae.
CCAAGGCAUGAAUUCUAAGCAGCAGACAGUGUGACUAAGUCAUGCUCACUUUAUCCCUAUACUGGAGUUUGGUAUCUCUACACCUCAAGAGGUCGAAAAAAUGAAAUCAAGCCAGCAAGAGCAUUGCCUGAUCAACACUGAUAAAUCUGUGCUUCUUGGAAUGUCAGACGUUAAUGCUGGAUCUACAAGACACAAGGAAUGCCCACAGUGUUGAGAGCCACUGGGACCUCACCACCAGUUUAGAAUGACUCAGUGACCUCUAAGAGGGGUCUCCUGUAGUCUCCCCUCCCCCAGCCUGAAACCUGCUUGCUCAGGGGUGGAGCUUGCUGCUCAAUCG